Molecule: long non-coding RNA, 664 nt
Organism: Pseudophryne corroboree (corroboree frog)
Lineage: Eukaryota; Metazoa; Chordata; Amphibia; Anura; Myobatrachidae
Exons: 4
Source: RefSeq, a predicted model, not a curated record
UCCAGUCCUCCCUCCCCUCCCCACUGAAGAGAAGACACAGCAGUCUUCAGCAUCACUCACCCCUCCCCUGCUAUCAGCGGUGGGUUCACGUACGGGACAGCAAUGCACAGACAGGAAGUCAUGUGAUGUACACCUGACUGGAGGAGCCAGCAGCCACAUGAUGAGGAGCAGCCCUGUUAGUGCACUAUCAGCCAGCCACACAGAGGGACAAAGACUCUGCAGAGGCUCAGGGCUUAAAGUGAUCCUGGUGAGGUGGUGGAACUCAUGAAGGAGGACCAUGGAGGCACCAAGACCUGAGAAAAAUCAUCUCUGGAACAGCCUACUGUUGUGACCGUGUCCAAAAGCAGAGUUGAAAAACAGCAACCGCUAGCAUUAACGUAGACUAAAGCUUGAAGAAGGUCGUGGAAGGAAUCGCAUUGGAUGCCUUUGAUUGAAAAAUCAUCUCUGGAACAGCCUACUGUUGCGACAGUGUCCAAGAAAAGAGUUGAAAAACAGCAACCGCUAGCAUUAAAGCAGACAAAAAGCCAGAAGAAGGUCGUUGAAGGAAUUGCAUUGGAUGACUUUGAUUGGAAAGACAUUUGAAGAAAUAAAAAUGUUGUUUCUCUUUAUUUUCCUCUUUUUGUGAGAUUUUGGUUAGGCCAUUUCCGUAGUUGAGGUAAUAAAG